Molecule: ribosomal RNA, 468 nt
Filed under: uncultured bacterium
Lineage: Bacteria
Description: partial 16S ribosomal RNA
Rfam family: Bacterial small subunit ribosomal RNA
Source: RNAcentral
GACGAACGCUGGCGGCGUGCUUAACACAUGCAAGUCGAACGGAAAGGCCCUGCUCUUGUGGGGUGCGCGAGUGGCGAACGGGAGAGUAACACGUGAGUAACCUGCCCUCGACUUUGGGAUAACUUCAGGAAACUGGGGCUAAUACCGGAUAGGAGCUCCUGCUGCAUGGUGGGGGUUGGAAAGUUUCGACGGUUGGGGAUGGACACGAGGCUUAUCAGCUUGUUGGUGGGGUAGUGGCUUACCAAGGCGUUGACGAGUAGCCGGCCUGAGAGGGUGACCGGCCACAUUGGGACUGAGGUGCGGCCCAGACGCCUACGGGGGGCAGCAGUGGGGAAUAAUGCACAAUGAUCGGAAGCCUGAUGCAGCAGCGCCGCGUGCGGGAUGACGGCCUUCGAGUUGUAAACCGCUUUCGCCUGUGACGAAGCGAGAGUGACGGUAAUGGGUAAAGAAGCACCGGCUAACUACGUG